This 460-nucleotide ribosomal RNA is filed under the name uncultured bacterium. Its description in RNAcentral is "partial 16S ribosomal RNA". It matches the Rfam family "Bacterial small subunit ribosomal RNA", at positions 338 to 795 of the family's 1533-position model. The record is from RNAcentral.
CCUACGUGCGGCUGCAGUGAGGAAUAUUGGUCAAUGGCCGGAAGGCUGAACCAGCCAUGCCGCGUGAAGGUCAGUGCCCUAUGGGCGUUAAACUUCUUUUGUGCGGGAGCAAUAAUGGUCACGUGUGGCCAGACGAGAGUACCGUACGAAUAAGCAUCGGCUAACUCCGUGCCAGCAACCGCGGUAAUACGGGGGAUGCAAGCGUUAUCCGGAUUUAUUGGGUUUAAAGGGUGCGUAGGCUGUGAGGUAAGUCAGCGGUGAAAUGCCCCCGUUCAACGGGGUGAAGUGCCAUUGAUACUGCCUUGCUGGAAUGCGGAUGCAGUGGGAGGAAUGUGUGGUGUAGCGGUGAAAUGCAUAGAUAUCACACAGAACACCGAUUGCGAAGGCAUCUCACGAAUCCGCGAUUGACGCUGAUGCACGAAAGCGUGGGUAUCAAACAGGAUUAGAGACCCGAGUAGUC